This 388-nucleotide long non-coding RNA is filed under the name Eucalyptus grandis. RNAcentral's name for it is "long non-coding RNA (EGRA_LNC007138)". Lineage: Eukaryota; Viridiplantae; Streptophyta; Magnoliopsida; Myrtales; Myrtaceae. The record is from RNAcentral.
UGCUAGUGACACGGCCCACGGACAAGCAUGAUCCAAGAUCGUCCGUAAGGGACCGUGUCACGCACAACGGGCUGCCCGGAAGCAGCCCACGAACGACCCAUGAGCAGAACGAGCGGAAGGCCCAUGCACGGCCCUUGGGCGACCCCUGAGCGAUGCUCGAGUAGCCCGUGACGGUUCAGCUGGUCGCGUGUCAGACCGACCUGCAACCCUGAUCUUGCUUCUGACGCACGCCCAUGAUCUGCCCAAGGCCUGACGCGCGCGACCCAUGGACUUCCCAAGGGCCUGCCGGGUGCAGACCAUCGAGUAGCCUUCGAGUAGUCUGUUGUAUAGCUUGUAAUGAUUAUACGGAUUCAAAAUGGACCGUUGGAUCGGAGGGACGAUCCACGGC